Long non-coding RNA from Phyllostomus discolor (pale spear-nosed bat), 377 nucleotides. RefSeq lists it as uncharacterized. The record is from RefSeq and is a predicted model, not a curated record. Lineage: Eukaryota; Metazoa; Chordata; Mammalia; Chiroptera; Phyllostomidae. The transcript has 3 exons.
AUUUAAAUUGAAGGAAUUCUUAACAAAGCAGGUUUCACAGAAUUUUAUGCAUUCUUUCUUAGGUCUGAUUGCCCCCAGGAACUGCCCGUUCCAGCAUAAGGCCACACCUGCUUCCGGCAUUGUUUUAGGUUUAAAUCAGGCAGGAGAAGUAAGGCAGCCAAGAGAUUAGCGGACUUCUUACAGACAGAAUGAGGAUGCAGGCUAUAACAAAGCUGAGGGGUGAAGGUCUAUCACCCCUUUUGUAUAAUCCCCUAAGUCCUUCCCUGGUGGUCCCUUCACAACUAUGCCUGUCUUAGGUUGUUCCUCCCUGGAGGAAUCUUACCCAUCAUUGUCUAACCAGUCAUCUGCUUGGGCCAAGCAGGGUAAAGUAAAAGGGG